Molecule: ribosomal RNA, 506 nt
Filed under: uncultured Glomus
Lineage: Eukaryota; Fungi; Glomeromycota; Glomeromycetes; Glomerales; Glomeraceae
Description: SSU rRNA
Rfam family: Eukaryotic small subunit ribosomal RNA
Source: RNAcentral
AGCAGCCGCGGUAAUUCCAGCUCCAAUAGCGUAUAUUAAAGUUGUUGCAGUUAAAAAGCUCGUAGUUGAAUUUCGGGGUCAAUAAGUUGGUCAUGCCAAUGGUAUGCACUGGCUUUAUUGAUUCCUACCUCUUGACGAACUGUGAUGCCAUUAAUUUGGUGUUGCAAGGAAUCAGGACUGUUACCUUGAAAAAAUUAGAGUGUUUAAAGCAAGCUUACGCUUGAAUACAUUAGCAUGGAAUAAUGAAAUAGGACGUUUGAUCCUAUUUUGUUGGUUUCUAGGAUCGACGUAAUGAUUAAUAGGGAUAGUUGGGGGCAUUAGUAUUCAAUUGUCAGAGGUGAAAUUCUUGGAUUUAUUGAAGACUAACUACUGCGAAAGCAUUUGCCAAGGAUGUUUUCAUUAAUCAAGAACGAAAGUUAGGGGAUCGAAGACGAUCAGAUACCGUCGUAGUCUUAACCAUAAACUAUGCCGACUAGGGAUCGGAUGAUGUUAAUUUUUAAUGACUC